GGUCAAGCUACAAAGGGCGCAUGGUGAAUGCCUUGGCAUCAGGAGCCGAUGAAGGACGUGAUAAGCUGCGAUAAGCUUCGGGUAGGCGCACAUAGCCUGAGAUCCGAAGAUCUCCGAAUGAGGAAACUCACAUGGGAAACCCCAUGUAUCAUUAAGUGAAUACAUAGCUUAAUGAAGGUAACCCAGGGAACUGAAACAUCUAAGUACCUGGAGGAAGAGAAAGAAAAAUCGAUUUUCUUAGUAGCGGCGAGCGAAAGGGAAAGAGCCCAAACCGGAAACUUGUUUCCGGGGUUGUGGACAUGACAUAAAAGUGGAGGCUAUUGUAAUUGAAGAGAACUGGAAAGUUCCACCGUAGAAGGUAAUAGUCCUGUAAGUGAAACGAGAAGACCACGAGUUAUGAUCCAGAGUACCACGAGACACGUGAAACCUUGUGGGAAGCAGGGAGGACCACCUCCCAAGGCUAAAUACUACCUGAUGACCGAUAGUGAAGCAGUACCGUGAGGGAAAGGUGAAAAGAACCCCGGGAGGGGAGUGAAAUAGAACCUGAAACCGUGUGCCUACAACCGCUCAGAGCCCCUUAUGAGGGUGAUGAGGUGCUUUUUGUAGAACGAGCCAACGAGUUACGGUAUGUAGCAAGGUUAAGUACUUAAGGUACGGAGCCGAAGGGAAACCGAGUCUGAAUAGGGCGACUAGUUGCAUGCCGUAGACCCGAAACCGGGUGACCUAUCCAUGGCCAGGUUGAAGCGAGGGUAAAACCUCGUGGAGGACCGAACCACGUUGCUGUUGAAAAAGCAUGGGAUGAGCUGUGGAUAGCGGAGAAAUUCCAAUCGAACCCGGAGAUAGCUGGUUCUCUCCGAAAUAGCUUUAGGGCUAGCGUCGAGUAUGAGUAGUGGAGGUAGAGCACUGAAUGGGCUAGGGGGCAUAGCGCUUACCGAACCUUAUCAAACUCCGAAUGCCACAUACUUUGAGCUCGGCAGUCAGACUACGAAUGAUAAGAUCCGUGGUCAAAAGGGAAACAGCCCAGAUCGUCAGCUAAGGUCCCAAAGUGUAAGUUAAGUGGGAAAGGAUGUGAGAUUUCUAAGACAACUAGGAUGUUGGCUUAGAAGCAGCCAUUCAUUAAAAGAGUGCGUAAUAGCUCACUAGUCGAGAGAUCUUGCGCCGAAAAUGUAACGGGGCUAAACUUACCACCGAAGCUACGGGCUUGAACUUAGUUCAAGCGGUAGGAGAGCGUCGUAACCGGGCUGAAGUCGUACCGUAAGGAGCGGUGGACUGGUUACGAGUGAGAAUGUUGGCAUCAGUAGCGAGAUGUGGGUGAGAAUCCCACAGGCCGAAAACCUAAGGUUUCCUCAGGAAGGUUCGUCCGCUGAGGGUUAGUCGGGACCUAAGCCGAGGCCGAAAGGCGUAGGUGAUGGACAACUGGUUGAUAUUCCAGUACCACUACCAUCGUUAUUAUCGAUGGCGUGACGCAGGAGGAUAGUGUGUGCUAGCUAUUGGAUGCUAGUCUAAGCGUUUAGGCAGUGAGAGUAGGCAAAUCCGCUCUCAUAAUGCUGAGGCGUGAUGGGGAAGGUUCUACGGAACCGAAGUACAUGAUUCCACGCUGCCAAGAAAAGCGUCUAGAGAGAGAAGUAGUGCCCGUACCGCAAACCGACACAGGUAGGUGAGGAGAGAAUCCUAAGGCCGGCGGAAGAAUUACAGUUAAGGAACUCGGCAAAUUGACCCCGUAAGUUCGCGAGAAGGGGUGCCUACGAGAGUAGGCCGCAGAGAAUAGGCCCAAGCAACUGUUUAGCAAAAACACAGGUCUCUGCUAAAGCGUAAGCUGAUGUAUAGGGGCUGACGCCUGCCCGGUGCUGGAAGGUUAAGGGGAACACUUAGCGCAAGCGAAGGUGUGAACUUAAGCCCCAGUAAACGGCGGCCGUAACUAUAACGGUCCUAAGGUAGCGAAAUUCCUUGUCAGGUAAGUUCUGACCCGCACGAAUGGCGUAAUGACUUGGGCACUGUCUCAACUGUAAAUCCGGCGAAGUUGUAGUGCGAGUGAAGAUGCUCGCUACCCGCGAUUGGACGGAAAGACCCCGUAGAGCUUUACUGUAGCUUAGCAUUGAGUUUUGGUAUUGUCUGUACAGGAUAGGUGGGAGACUAGGAAACCAGGGCGUCAGCCUUGGUGGAGUCAACCUUGGGAUACCACCCUGACAGUACUGAAAUUCUAACUGGCGGCCAUGAAUCUGGUCACAGGACAUUGUUAGGUGGGCAGUUUGACUGGGGCGGUCGCCUCCUAAAAAGUAACGGAGGCGCCCAAAGGUUCCCUCAGAACGGUCGGAAAUCGUUCGAAGAGUGCAAAGGCAGAAGGGAGCCUGACUGCGACACCCACAAGUGGAGCAGGGACGAAAGUCGGGCUUAGUGAUCCGGUGGUACCUCGUGGGAGGGCCAUCGCUCAACGGAUAAAAGCUACCUCGGGGAUAACAGGCUGAUCUCCCCCAAGAGUCCACAUCGACGGGGAGGUUUGGCACCUCGAUGUCGGCUCGUCGCAUCCUGGGGCUGAAGUAGGUCCCAAGGGUUGGGCUGUUCGCCCAUUAAAGCGGCACGCGAGCUGGGUUCAGAACGUCGUGAGACAGUUCGGUCCCUAUCCGUCGCGGGCGUAGGAAAUUUGAGAGGAGCUGUCCUUAGUACGAGAGGACCGGGAUGGACUGACCUCUGGUGUACCAGUUGUUCCGCCAGGAGCACAGCUGGGUAGCUAAGUCGGGAAUGGAUAAACGCUGAAAGCAUCUAAGCGUGAAGCCAACCUCAAGAUGAGAUUUCCCAUAGCGUAAGCUAGUAAGAUCCCUUGAAGAACACAAGGUUGAUAGGUCGGGGGUGUAAGCAUGGUAACAUGUUCAGCUGACCGAUACUAAUAGAUCGAGGGCUUGACCAA
Molecule: ribosomal RNA, 2905 nt
Filed under: Clostridium perfringens
Lineage: Bacteria; Bacillati; Bacillota; Clostridia; Eubacteriales; Clostridiaceae
Description: bacterial LSU rRNA
Rfam family: Bacterial large subunit ribosomal RNA
Source: RNAcentral